This is a small nuclear RNA of Corylus avellana, 103 nucleotides long. The record is from RefSeq and is a predicted model, not a curated record. Lineage: Eukaryota; Viridiplantae; Streptophyta; Magnoliopsida; Fagales; Betulaceae.
CUCUUAUAAAGUAGAUUAUUGUCAAAAUUAGAAUGAUAUAGAGAAGAUUAGCAUGGCCCCUGCAAGGGUGAUACACACAAAUCGAGAAAUAGUCCAAAUUUUU